GACGAACGCUGGCGGCGUGCUUAACACAUGCAAGUCGAACGGAAAGGCCCUGCUUUUGUGGGGUGCUCGAGUGGCUAACGGGUGAGUAACACGUGAGUAACCUGCCCUUUACUUUGGGAUAACUUCAGGAAACUGGGGCUAAUACCGGAUAGGAGCUCCUGCUGCAUGGUGGGGGUUGGAAAGUUUCGGCGGUUGGGGAUGGACUCGCGGCUUAUCAGCUUGUUGGUGGGGUAGUGGCUUACCAAGGCUUUGACGGGUAGCCGGCCUGAGAGGGUGACCGGCCACAUUGGGACUGAGAUACGGACCAGACUCCUACGGGAGGCAGCAGUGGGGAAUAUUGCACAAUGGGCGGAAGCCUGAUGCAGCAACGCCGCGUGCGGGAUGACGGCCUUCGGGUUGUAAACCGCUUUCGCCUGUGACGAAGAGUGAGUGACGGUAAUGGGUAAAGAAGCACCGGCUAACUACGUG
This 468-nucleotide ribosomal RNA is filed under the name uncultured bacterium. Its description in RNAcentral is "partial 16S ribosomal RNA". It matches the Rfam family "Bacterial small subunit ribosomal RNA", at positions 28 to 507 of the family's 1533-position model. The record is from RNAcentral.